Molecule: non-coding RNA, 94 nt
Organism: Cercophora sp. LCS_1
Lineage: Eukaryota; Fungi; Ascomycota; Sordariomycetes; Sordariales; Lasiosphaeriaceae
Source: the annotation of a GenBank genome assembly
GCUCUAUUGGUGUAGUGGUUAUCACAUCGUUCUUAUAGUUGCGCUUUCAACGCUUCAUAUGCGAGGGUCCUGAGUUCAAUCCUCAGAUAGAGCA